This 256-nucleotide non-coding RNA is filed under the name Virgibacillus necropolis. Its description in RNAcentral is "T-box sequence". It matches the Rfam family "T-box leader". Rfam says of the family: Uncharged tRNA acts as the effector for transcription antitermination of genes in the T-box leader family. T-boxes are found upstream of many aminoacyl-tRNA synthetase genes and some amino acid biosynthetic genes usually in Gram-positive bacteria. The record is from RNAcentral. Lineage: Bacteria; Bacillati; Bacillota; Bacilli; Caryophanales; Bacillaceae.
ACAAAUGCUAUGAAGAGAAGAGUAUAAUCGGCAAUUCUUCAAAGAGAGCUCCUGUUGGUGAAAAGGAGUAAGAAUUAAUGGUUGGAAACAAGUCUCAGAGCAGCACAUUGGAUCCAUAUGGGUGAUGGUGUGACAGGAGCUCCUGUUAUAGAGCUACGGUAUAUGUAUGGACUUCAUACUGUACCUAUCAAGGAUAAUAUGGUGACAUAUUACCAAACUGGGGUGGCACCACGGCGCGCAACAACUCGUCCUCAAG